AACAGGAGCAAUGAAAAAAAUCUUGCAUUUAAAUGCUAAUGUCAUUUCAGUGUACUUGAAGGAAAAAGUUUCCAUAGACAGAGGUUGCCAUCCCAUUGGUCCAGGCUUUUGAAGGAGAAA
This is a long non-coding RNA of Phyllostomus discolor (pale spear-nosed bat), 120 nucleotides long. RefSeq lists it as uncharacterized. Lineage: Eukaryota; Metazoa; Chordata; Mammalia; Chiroptera; Phyllostomidae. The transcript has 3 exons. The record is from RefSeq and is a predicted model, not a curated record.